CCUCGGUUUCCUUCUUGGUAUUAAGAUGGCAACAUCUACCUCAUAUGAUUGCGGUACAGUUAUAGCUAAGAUAAUUCAUAUAAAAUACUUCUGGAAAGGUCUCCUAAGGCAUUUCAUAGAUGCUGCUAAUGUGUACAUGAAACUCCAAUACUGUCUGGUAUGUUUGGAAGAUUACAGGAGCUGAGAGCACUGUAAGCAUAUAUGACAUGCAGCAGGCACUGUGUGAAGCUCCCUAGCUCCCAGCCUCCCUCCUCCCUCCUUGAGGCACCCAAUGUAGACAGAGGACACUGGGCCAGUUAUGAGAACUUCAUACCAUGGGACCUUUAAUUAGAACAGAGACUUGUUUCAUACAGGCUGAAACCCGGAAACCCCGGGAAGGUUAUGCUUAGCUGUGGAAACCAGAAAUCAAGUAAGCCAUGGCCACUGUGUCGCUGGGCAGAGAACAAGGUCCUAGGAUGCUGGAGGACACAGCAGUUCCUUUCUUUCUGAUGUGGAUGCUUCAGGCAGAGACUGGCUCAUCAGGCUGAGCUGGGCUGGUGAUGGGUCCUCUGGCUUGGGAAUUUCCAAAUGGUAGUACCAGUCCUAUCUAUAGAGAAAUGGCCUUGAGGUACACUAAGACCUGGGCCAGUGUGGUGGAUUCUGCUAGCUCCCAGGCCAAUUACCACUUGAGGGAACAGCUAAGAGAGAGGGGGGAGAAGAGAUACAGUGCAGAAAAAGUCUUCACAGCAUAGGCCCCUGAAGAAAGAGUUACCAAGGGAGUGUAGGGAGGGCACAGAGUCAGGCCGAUCUGAGUUUAAGGGAGUUUGAGCAUGAUGGUUCCCUUCUAGGCCUCAGUUUUCCCAUCUGAAAUGUGGUCAUAGUACCUAUAUCACUGGCUUAUUGGAAUGACUGUACAAAAUAUAGCCUAAUCAUAAACAGUAGUAGUCAAAUCCAGGGCCGGACAAGGCCAGGUUGGUCUUUCCCGUGACGACUCAGGAUCAGUGAGCUUGGAGAUAUUUUCAGGGUAACUACAGAAGACAUUAACCCGGGCUACAAAGAGUUUUCAAAAUGCACGGCACCUCGAAGUCUUCCAGAUCUGACUGCAAGACACAGCUCUUGUAUCCUCUCUCAGCAAAUGAUGUCCAUGUCCUACCUUUUUGAUUCUUUCAUUACCGGACGCUCUUCAACCUACAGCAGAAGACACUAUCCAACAGUACGGAGUCUACAGCGGCAGAGGGAAAGUCCCCCAUCCCACUCGGCCCACAACAUUUAGCCUAAGCCCCACUUUAUAGAUGUUAAGACUGAGGCCCGAGACCCAAUCCAUUUCAUCCCCACAGCCACAUAGGCAAGAAAGUCACAAAGGAAUGUCAUUUCAGUCUCAGGUUCAGCUCAUUACAAGGUGAGGCAUAGCUUCUCUUGGCUGGAGAAGCAGAGUUACAAUUUUCGUUCUUUUUUUUUUUCUUUCAAGGAGUGGUGACUUUUUAAUAGAAGUUGGUUCGUGCACAGGCAUUUGAUUCUUCAAUUAAUUUCCAUCUAAAUGAGGUUUUCUUGGAGAUAACCAGUGUUUUAGUUCCAUUUGGGCUUAAUUUGUAUGACGGAAGCCUCUGUUUCUGCCAAUUCCAAUUUAUUCGGUGAUUCUAGCACUCAUUACCUGGGUGAUAAUGCCCUGCUGCUGACAGCUGCAUCGGAUCUGAGAGAUGGACUGAUUUCCAAUAGCAAUUCAGGGGAGGAAGUGGUCCCUUCUCCUUUCCCAAUACCACUCAAUAAAUAGGAAAUAAAUUAUUAAAUAAGCCAUGUUUUGAUGAGGGUUCCCCAUCAUGGUAUUUACAAUGCAAAGCAACAACUACCAAAAAACAAAAACAAGAACAAAACAAAACUAAAAAUAAAUAAAUAAACCAAACAUACAAAUGAACAAAACAUGCCACAGACAGAGAGAAGCAGACUACCAUGUAAUUCAUUGGUUCAUUUGGUGUAGAAAUAAGAAAGGAUAAGUUUCAAUUAAAAAAAUGCUCAGUGACUUUCUAUCUGGCUUAAGUUUUUCAGCUGGAUUAAGUUAGCCAGUUGGGGAGGGGGCAUGCUUGAAGGAAUUCUGUUUUUGAUGUUGUUUAAUCAGAUCAAAAUUUCUAUUCAAUUGGAGGGGGAAGGAAAGCAAGAUGUGCACACAUGAGACUAUUUCUGAAUAUUUGUGGGGAACAAGAAGUGGAAAGAAUACAGCAGAAGGAAAGAUGGAAAUUGGGCUUGAGAAGGAGGAAAAAUGCUUUGUGAAAACUUUGGCAGAAUCCUAAAUUUUGACCUCUUCAAGCAAAACAUUUAGGGAAAGAGCACGUGAUCUGAGCAAAUGAAGUAAUGGAGGCACUCGAAAGCUAAGACCCUUCUGUCUUCCCAACAUCUUCAUUUUAUUCUGCUUCUGAAAUACUGAGUUUCCUUCAAAGAAGGAAACAAAUAGAGACAGGAAUGUGCUCAAACUUCAUUGAACUGGAAUGGUUCUAUGCUGAGGGCUUUAAAGUUAAUUAGCUUUUUCUAAUUAACUGAAGGGGAUUCACAUCUUGCUUUUAGUUUUUAUUCUCAUGAUUGAAAACCUCCUAAAAAAUCUCUGAAGCUCUUUUCUUUUUUCCUCUGAGUCUCCAUGAAACGUACUGUCUUUGGUGGGUCUUCCAGGCCUCAGGUCAAUAUUUGGGAUUACUUCUCAAAAACUUCCACCCUUCAAAGAUGUGGGAACUUCGGCCCAGGGAAAGGGAUCAAUUUGUCCACUUUCACUCAUUUACUGCACACCCAUGGCAAGAAGGUCAAAGGGCUUGGUUGAUAUGUUGUUUGAUCUUAACCUGCAUCCUCUCCCAUCUUGGAUGCUGGUUUUUGAGCCAAGUCCUUCUAGUGGUUUGUCUUAUUUGCUGGGAGCAAAAGAUAGUGAGAGUGAAGUGGGUAUCAUAAUAGCAAUACUAGGGAAUGAUGAUUUUAGCUAACUAAAGUUAGCUCAACUAAAGUUACUCAUCAAAAAUUGUAUUUUUGGAUGAAAUAAAAAGAAGUAUAAAAGAAAUCAGAGAAAUAUAUCAGGGGGUGGGGAGAGAAUGUCCCCCUGGGAGGCAUCUAAGCAACUUCUUGCAAACUUUCCCCGGGAUACGGGUGCUCCCUUGCUUGAGUUAAGGCAGGUAGCCACAUUGGCAGGAAAACAACCAGGAUGUCUGUCGCAAAAGUUUCACCAAAUUCAAAGCUGGGCCAGAAAAGCUGACAGUUGCAAGGCUGUGUUUGGUGACUUUGGAAAGGGCAAGAACCCUUGCCAGCCAGAAGCCAGAAGAUAUUGCAGGUUGUCAGAGAGCCUGGAUUGAUAAAGCUUUGCGGAUCCUAGUUCCCCAGGAUGGGCUCAGAAAGGACUUUCUUGGGGAGAUAGCUACAUGUUCCAUUUUAUUUUCUUUCCUAACUUCAUCCCAGGUGCCUCCCAAAAGGACUUUCAUAAGAGCCCUCAAUUUUGUACUGCUUUAUCUUAAAUGCUAAUUUUAGACUCCAGCCCCCAAUGUAAGCUGUAACCCUAUUACGUCGGUUCAGUGCCUCAGCUCCUGAGCUCUUUCCCUGCUGAUACCUCAGUGAGAUAGCUGGUGGGCAGGGCCUGGGGCACGGGGCCUGAAUCUCUCAACACUACGCUGAGUAAUAAACCUGGGGACUCAUGUGCUUCUGGGCCAACUCUAGAGUGUUCCAGACUUAAAAUGUUCCAGAAAAUAACAGCAUCCCCAUUCACAUUUGGCCUCUCAAAUCAUAUCCAUAGAGACGUAAGAAAAAAAAAGAAAUGCAUAAAAAUAAUUUACAAGUUCUCCCACCUCCCCAAACACACACAUACACACAAAAAUUCCUUUCCAUAUAAAUAAAUGAAUAAAUAAAUAAAUACUGCUAAUGGUGAAAGAAAGCUAUCAUCACAUAAAUAAAUAAAUAAACAAAUAGAUAAAUAAAUAAAAUAAAUAAAAAUUUUGCUGGGAGCCUUAGGCAAAAUGGUCCCCUGGAGUCCUCUGAACAAAGACAGUCUGCAUGGAAGGCUCCUAUGCCACUCGCAGGCAGCCAACCUGCUCAGGAUGUUUGGUGGUUUUAGGAAGCCUCUGUCUCCAGGAAGAGAGACUGGAGUCCAGUCUGGGCUCCUGGGUGGGGAAGAGGGUUAUUUACAGUUGCUGUACAUGUCCUCCCAGGGCACCUGUCCCUGUCUCAGGCACCUGGCAUCCGGCCUUCUGCAGUGACAGCACUGGCAUCCACGAGUCCUGGUGGACAGGCUUUGGUCUGGGCCAGAUGCCAUCGUGGGAAGGCCUGGUUAUCCACUGCAGCCCGGGGACACUUGCUCCUUUCUUGUGCUGGAGGAAGGACUUUCAGAGUGGUUGCUGCCCCUGGCGGGUUGUUGCGCACCCCCUCCCUCCCGGGGGGAGGCUGAUAGGAUGGGAAAGAUCAGGUGAGGAGAAAUUACUGUUUCCAAGAAAAAAGGGUUUUCCAAGUGUUUUCCUUGGGGGUGGGAAGGCUGAAGCUUUGCUUUUUGCUUUCCCACAGCCCCAGUACCCAAAGCUGAAGCUGGGAAUUGUCCUCCUUCCUCUCUCCCUCCAUGCCCUGUCCUGCUGCUACUGCCACCACAAACUUGAGACUCACAAGGCUCUGGAAAGCCAUGCAGCUGGUGAGGGGGUUGCCCCGGGGUUUAUUUUAGGGAGCUUCUCCCUGGCCUGUGUGUUCUCAGUGCCUCCUGCGGAUGAAGCAGCUGGUGGUAUUUGUGUGUCAGAGGGCAGCUUGCCCUUGCUGCCUAGCCCUAGGCAGAGGGAAGGUGGGUCAGACAGGGCUUUCCCAAGCUGACGAAAAAUGUCUGAAACUAGCAAAAGCCCCAGAUAUGGAGUACUCGAGCCCCUCACCUGCAGACUCUCUGAAUUUGAGUCUGUGCCCCAUCCUGGCAAAAAUCCUGAGGCAAGGAAGGUGGUUUAGGCUGAAGGGUGGGAGAGGAGGUGCCAGGCCACCCUGGGGUGUGGC
Heterocephalus glaber (naked mole-rat) is the source of this 4962-nucleotide long non-coding RNA. NCBI's taxonomy places the organism in Eukaryota, Metazoa, Chordata, Mammalia, Rodentia, Bathyergidae. The record is from Ensembl.